This 497-nucleotide ribosomal RNA is filed under the name uncultured bacterium. Its description in RNAcentral is "partial 16S ribosomal RNA". It matches the Rfam family "Bacterial small subunit ribosomal RNA", at positions 28 to 507 of the family's 1533-position model. The record is from RNAcentral.
GAUGAACGCUGGCGGCGUGCCUAAUACAUGCAAGUCGAGCGAACGGACGAGCAGCUUGCUUCUCUUAUGUUAGCGGCGGACGGGUGAGUAACACGUGGGUAACCUACCUAUAAGACUGGGAUAACUUCGGGAAACCGGGUCUAAUACCGGAUAAUAUUUUGAACCGCAUUGUUCAAGAGUGAAAGACGGUCUUGCUGUCCCUUAUAGAUGGAUCCGCUCUGCAUUAGCUAGUUGGUAAGUUAACGGCUUACCAAGGCAACGAUGCAUAGCCUACCUGAGAGGGUGAUCGGACACACUGGAUCUGAGACACGGUCCAGACUCAUACGGAAGGCAGCAGUCGGGAAUCUUCCGCACUGGGCGAAAGCCUGACGGAGCAACGCCGCGUGAGUGAUGAAGGUCUUCGGAUCGUAAAAAUCUGUUAUUAGGGAAGAACAUAUGUGUAAGUAACUGUGCACAGCUUGACGGUACCUAAUCAGAAAGCCACGGCUAACUACGUG